RNAcentral lists this Y RNA (111 nucleotides) under Propithecus coquereli (Coquerel's sifaka). Its description in RNAcentral is "Y RNA (ENSPCOG00000011908.1)". It matches the Rfam family "Y RNA". From Rfam's summary of the family: Y RNAs are components of the Ro ribonucleoprotein particle (Ro RNP), in association with Ro60 and La proteins. The record is from Rfam by way of RNAcentral. Lineage: Eukaryota; Metazoa; Chordata; Mammalia; Primates; Indriidae.
ACCAGGUCCAAAGGUAGUGAAUUAUCUCACUUGAUUGUUCACAGUCAGUUAGGGACUGAACUCUUUGUUCUACUACUUUCCCCCUUCUCACUACUGCACUUGACCAGUCUA